Molecule: ribosomal RNA, 498 nt
Filed under: uncultured bacterium
Lineage: Bacteria
Description: bacterial SSU rRNA
Rfam family: Bacterial small subunit ribosomal RNA
Source: RNAcentral
AUUGAACGCUGGCGGCAUGCCUUACACAUGCAAGUCGAACGGCAGCACGGACUUCGGUCUGGUGGCGAGUGGCGAACGGGUGAGUAAUGUAUCGGAACGUACCUUUCAGUGGGGGAUAACGUAGCGAAAGUUACGCUAAUACCGCAUAUUCUGUGAGCAGGAAAGCAGGGGAUCGCAAGACCUUGCGCUGAUUGAGCGGCCGAUAUCAGAUUAGCUAGUUGGUGAGGUAAAGGCUCACCAAGGCGACGAUCUGUAGCGGGUCUGAGAGGAUGAUCCGCCACACUGGAACUGAGACACGGUCCAGACUCCUACGGGAGGCAGCAGUGGGGAAUUUUGGACAAUGGGGGCAACCCUGGUCCAGCCAUGCCGCGUGAGUGAAGAAGGCCUCGGUUGGUAAAGACGUCUUUCGGUCCGGGAACGGAAAGUACGCGAUGGCGUAAUACCCUACGUGCGGAUGACGGUACCGGCGACUAAGAAGCACCGGCUAACUACGUAGCC